GGGACUGCGAAACCUAAAGGCGCAAUGAAAGUGAAGGUCGCGCCAACCAAGGUCGACCGAGGGAGGAUGGGCCGCGUUUGCGCGCGGCUCCGCACUCCCGGGGCGUCUCGUUCUCAUUGCGAGAAGAGGCGCACCCAGAGCGUACACGUUGGGACCCGAAAGAUGGUGAACUAUGCCUGGUCAGGACGAAGUCAGGGGAAACCCUGAUGGAGGUCCG
This 217-nucleotide ribosomal RNA is filed under the name Polybia affinis. RNAcentral's name for it is "partial 28S ribosomal RNA". It matches the Rfam family "Eukaryotic large subunit ribosomal RNA", at positions 696 to 877 of the family's 3401-position model. The record is from RNAcentral. Lineage: Eukaryota; Metazoa; Arthropoda; Insecta; Hymenoptera; Vespidae.